CCUACGGGAGGCAGCAGUAAGGAAUAUUGGGCAAUGGAGGCAACUCUGACCCAGCCAUGCCGCGUGAAGGAUGAAGGCCCUAUGGGUUGUAAACUUCUUUUGUACGGGAAUAAACCUGGUUACGUGUAACCAGUUGAAUGUACCGUAAGAAUAAGCACCGGCUAACUCCGUGCCAGCAGCCGCGGUAAUACGGAGGGUGCAAGCGUUAUCCGGAUUUAUUGGGUUUAAAGGGAGCGUAGGCGGGAUUGUAAGUCAGUGGUGAAAGCCCGUAGCUCAACUACGGAACUGCCAUUGAUACUGCAGACCUAGAGUACACUUGAAGUGGGCGGAAUGUGUCAUGUAGCGGUGAAAUGCUUAGAUAUGACACAGAACACCAAUUGCGAAGGCAGCUCACUAAAUUGUAACUGACGCUGAGGCUCGAUAGCUGGGGAUCAAACAGGAUUAGAUACCCUGGUAGUCCACGCCGUAAACGAUGAUUACUCGAUGUUGACGAUACACUGUCAGCGUCUGAGCGAAGACAUUAAGUUAAUACCACCGUACGGGUAGGUACGGUCGGCGAACGACGUAGAAACGUACGAAACUAAAGUUAGUACGGCGUAGAGACGUAGACCGACGGACGACGACGAGGGGAGGAGGG
This 637-nucleotide ribosomal RNA is filed under the name uncultured bacterium. RNAcentral describes it as "bacterial SSU rRNA". The stretch from base 1 to 536 matches the Rfam family "Bacterial small subunit ribosomal RNA", at positions 338 to 873 of the family's 1533-position model. The record is from RNAcentral.